Long non-coding RNA from Leopardus geoffroyi (Geoffroy's cat), 299 nucleotides. RefSeq lists it as uncharacterized. The transcript is spliced from 2 exons. The record is from RefSeq and is a predicted model, not a curated record. NCBI's taxonomy places the organism in Eukaryota, Metazoa, Chordata, Mammalia, Carnivora, Felidae.
CCGUGAGAUCCGGACCUGAGCAGAAAUCAAGAGUUGGACACCUGUAUCUUCACAUGGCACCCUGAACUUCCUGCCCUCAAGACUUAUCAUCAGUGAAUGAAUACUGGAGAGAAACCUUACAAAUUCAAAGAAUGUGGUAAAACUUUAUGGCUUAUCACUAAAUGAACAUAGGAGAAUCCAUACUGGGGAAAAAACUUACCAAAGUAAAGAAUGUGGCAAGGCUUUUAACAGUCACUCAAACCAUAUUCAACAUCAAAGAAUUCAUACUAAAGAGAAACCUUAUAAAUGUAAAGAAUGUG